RNAcentral lists this ribosomal RNA (426 nucleotides) under Triticum aestivum (bread wheat). RNAcentral describes it as "partial small subunit ribosomal RNA". The record is from RNAcentral. Lineage: Eukaryota; Viridiplantae; Streptophyta; Magnoliopsida; Poales; Poaceae.
AUGGGUUCAUAUACACAAGAUGAGGACAAGUUGAUUUGCCAAUGUUGGAUGGAGAUUAGCGAAGAUCCGAGGAUCAGCGCGCAACAAAAGGGCCUUGUUUUUUGGACGAGAGUCCACAAAACAUUCCAUGAAAGGAAUAUGUUUGAGCCCUACCAAAUUACAAGCAACCAUGGCAUCACCUCGAUUCAAAAGAGGUGGUUGUUCAUCCAACAAGAGUGCAACAAGUAUUGCGCCGCAUUUGAGAGCGUUGAAGCAUGACCCGUGAGUGAUCUCGGUGUUGGGGACAUGGUAUGCUCUCCUCAUCCUAGUCCUUUCCUUGCUGCGGCCAUGAGACUUCGGCCUUGUAUAUGUUUGCAUGUUCAAUUGUUGUUGAUCAUGUGGUGUAGGCAUUUCAAUCUUUGGAGGCAUUCAAGCCCGGCACAAUGA